CAGGAAGGGUCCCUUUUCCCAUCUGCUCUUGCUCCAGUGGCAGGAUGUGAUCCACCGGCAAGGGAGGAUGCCAAUAUGGUGUCCGAUAAGAUAAGUCUUAUAAAAUAUAUAGGUUUAUGAUAAUUAAGACUGAGCCAACAGAUGAGAAUCCUAGUCAUUGGUCAAGCAGCAUUGUACCUAAUACAAGUUUCUGUGUAUUCAUUUGGGUCCUAACUCAGGCGGGCAGUUGGCAUAAAGCUCACAUGUGGUGGUGGGGCUCAGGCGGCUUUUGGCAGAAAGAUUUAUCCUAACAAGUUUUAGCUAGCUAGGAAGAUCUAGCAGUCCAGCUUCCUGCUUGUGAAUUCUGGCUUCCACACUUCCUAAAGUCUGUUUGGCACAUUCAUCUUUUUGCAACCCCCGGAGAUUAACCAAGACCACUUCCAUGACCCUGGAUGUGCAGAUAUACAUCGAAGUAUAUGCAAUACCUUACAGCACUACUGAAGAUAGUCGAUAUGGAAUGAAGCUUCCAAGAGGAAAAUCCAAGAAAACAAAAUAUUGCCUCUGAGGCUUGAUUGUUUUUGACGAUGCUUAUGGAACUCUACAGAAAAAAAAAGGGCACAACUAUAUUCAAUAGUGAAAACAGACGUUGGAAAAAUAUUUUAUUCUAUAUUAUGCUGUUACCUCAGUCUCAUCAUGAAUUUGAGAAGAAAGAAGAUUGUAAUUUCAAAGGGAUAUGAAAAAUUAGACUCACUAUACCUGGAACCUGAUAAAUUAGUUCCUAUCAUUGUAUUUCUGCUGUGUUACUGCAUAUCAGUCCUUGACAAUGACAUUAGUGUGCUAUGUAGUGAUCAAGCAAUGCAAAGUUUUUAUUCUACAUUUCUAUUAAUUAGUAAAUAUAAUUAAUAAAUCUGAGUAAUAUAAUAAACAUAUAUAUAUAAUUAUA
This 922-nucleotide long non-coding RNA is filed under the name Cricetulus griseus (Chinese hamster). RNAcentral's name for it is "lncRNA (ENSCGRG00015042615.1)". The record is from RNAcentral. Lineage: Eukaryota; Metazoa; Chordata; Mammalia; Rodentia; Cricetidae.